GAGUGAAGAUGAGAUGGAGAUGGGAGAUGAGAGGGGAGGAGGGAGGAAGGAGUAACAAAAGUGAAAAUAAAAACUAAAAUCUAUUUGAAAUUGUUUUCACUUUCAAGUUUUUGUUUUCACUUUUGUUACUUUUCCCUCUCAUCCUCUCUCUCAAUCUCAUCCUCACUCUCAUCCUCACUCU
This 181-nucleotide small nucleolar RNA is filed under the name Prunus dulcis (almond). Its description in RNAcentral is "sRNA ncRNA". The record is from RNAcentral. Lineage: Eukaryota; Viridiplantae; Streptophyta; Magnoliopsida; Rosales; Rosaceae.